CUUGGCACUGGGAGAAUUCACAGGAGUUCUGAAUAUACCCGUGAAUUUCCUGAUGCCUUAGC
This 62-nucleotide non-coding RNA is filed under the name Spodoptera frugiperda (fall armyworm). Lineage: Eukaryota; Metazoa; Arthropoda; Insecta; Lepidoptera; Noctuidae. The record is from RNAcentral.